Molecule: ribosomal RNA, 404 nt
Filed under: uncultured bacterium
Lineage: Bacteria
Description: bacterial SSU rRNA
Rfam family: Bacterial small subunit ribosomal RNA
Source: RNAcentral
UGGGGAAUAUUGGACAAUGGGCGAAAGCCUGAUCCAGCAAUGCCGCGUGGAUGAAGAAGGUCUUCGGAUUGUAAAGUCCUUUCGACGGGGACGAUGAUGACGGUACCCGUAGAAGAAGCCCCGGCUAACUUCGUGCCAGCAGCCGCGGUAAUACGAAGGGUGCUAGCGUUGUUCGGAAUUACUGGGCGUAAAGCGCGCGUAGGCGGUCUAACAAGUCAGGGGUGAAAUCCUUGGGCUCAACCCAAGAAUUGCCUUUGAAACUGUUAGACUUGAGUGUCGGAGGGGAUAGCGGAAUUGCUAAUGUAGAGGUGAAAUUCGUAGAUAUUAGCAGGAACACCGGUGGCGAAGGCGGCUAUCUGGACGACAACUGACGCUGAGGCGCGAAAGCGUGGGGAUCAAACAGG